Molecule: transfer RNA, 75 nt
Filed under: bacterium
Lineage: Bacteria
Also listed under: 1 other name
Description: tRNA-Arg
Rfam family: tRNA
About the family: Transfer RNA (tRNA) molecules are approximately 80 nucleotides in length. Their secondary structure includes four short double-helical elements and three loops (D, anti-codon, and T loops).
Source: RNAcentral
GCCCUCGUAGUUCAACGGAUAGAACACGCCCCUCCUAAGGGCGAAAUGCAGGUUCAAUUCCUGCCGGGGGCACCA